AUAAUAUAAUGAUGAGUUGACACUUACUAUUUUAAAAAGUUUCUGUCAAAUUUUGAUAGGAGCUUUCAAUAUUUUGGUGUUUACAAAUUUUCAGUUUUAUAAAUAUUUUACACUUCCGAUCGAAUUUCUAAUCUAAUAACACACUUCCUAACUUUUUUGCAUGGCUGACGCACAAUCUGUUCAGGCCAAGAAAGGAACCAUGAAUAUUUUACACAAAUUUAUAAAUAUGAUGGUGUAACUAUUGAUCACAAAUUUGUAUUCUAAAAAUAAAUACCUAUAUCGAAGUGAAUUCCUGAUAUAAAACCCUUUCCAAAACAUAUUACAAAUCAACUUAUAACUCGAAAAUCAUAAGCAACUCUUAAAUCAGACAAACUCGCUGAAUUGCGAGACAUGUUGGCAAAGAAGAGCCCAAUGAAAUACAUGAAUAUAUGUUUAUAUCCAAUUGAAUAUUACCUGGAGACAUCUUUUUCUAUUUUGAUGACAUCAUCCUAACUCAAUGCUACUAUUAUUAGAAUAUUAUCAAAUGGUGUAUUAUUUACAUUUUAUCAGUUUGAAAAUACCUAACAAACAAAAAAGCUAAGAAGAAUAAUAGAAUUCAUGAACAUAAUAAGGAAAAGUUAAAUUAUAAUAAAUACUAGUGAUGUAGCAUUCUUAUUUAUUGUGAAAUAAAGAUCCCAGCAGAAGUA
Pieris brassicae (large cabbage white) is the source of this 686-nucleotide long non-coding RNA. RefSeq lists it as uncharacterized. The transcript has 2 exons. The record is from RefSeq and is a predicted model, not a curated record. Lineage: Eukaryota; Metazoa; Arthropoda; Insecta; Lepidoptera; Pieridae.